This is a small nucleolar RNA of Larimichthys crocea (large yellow croaker), 66 nucleotides long. Ensembl annotates it as small nucleolar RNA, C/D box 54. Its record names the gene SNORD54. The record is from Ensembl. NCBI's taxonomy places the organism in Eukaryota, Metazoa, Chordata, Actinopteri, Sciaenidae.
UGAGCUAUGAGGAUAAAACUUUUGCCUGAUGAACCCUGACGACCUAUACGCUAUUCUGAGCCGCGU